GCCGGGUGUGGUGGCGCAUGCCUGUAAUCCCAGUUACUCGGAGGCUGAGGCAGGAGAAUUGCUUGAACCCAGGAGAUGGAGGAGGCAGUGAGCCAAGACCACACCAUUGCAUUCCAGCCUGGGUGACAGAGCAAGAUUCUGUCUCAA
Unclassified non-coding RNA from Papio anubis (olive baboon), 147 nucleotides. It matches the Rfam family "Metazoan signal recognition particle RNA". From Rfam's summary of the family: The signal recognition particle (SRP) is a universally conserved ribonucleoprotein. It is involved in the co-translational targeting of proteins to membranes. The record is from Ensembl. NCBI's taxonomy places the organism in Eukaryota, Metazoa, Chordata, Mammalia, Primates, Cercopithecidae.